This 72-nucleotide transfer RNA is filed under the name Cricetulus griseus (Chinese hamster). It matches the Rfam family "tRNA". From Rfam's summary of the family: Transfer RNA (tRNA) molecules are approximately 80 nucleotides in length. Their secondary structure includes four short double-helical elements and three loops (D, anti-codon, and T loops). Lineage: Eukaryota; Metazoa; Chordata; Mammalia; Rodentia; Cricetidae. The record is from Rfam by way of RNAcentral.
GCCAGGAGAGCUCAGUCAGUAGAGCAUGAGACUCUUAAUCUCAGGGUCGUGGGUUUAUACCCCACCUUGGUA